Molecule: non-coding RNA, 72 nt
Organism: Phrynosoma platyrhinos (Desert horned lizard)
Lineage: Eukaryota; Metazoa; Chordata; Lepidosauria; Squamata; Phrynosomatidae
Source: the annotation of a GenBank genome assembly
GCCAGUGUGGUGUAGUGGUUUGAGUGCUGGACUACGAUUGUGGAGAUCAGGGUUCAAUUCCCUGUUUGGUCA